Molecule: ribosomal RNA, 235 nt
Filed under: uncultured bacterium
Lineage: Bacteria
Description: partial 16S ribosomal RNA
Rfam family: Bacterial small subunit ribosomal RNA
Source: RNAcentral
UGGGUGAUCUGCCCUGCACUUCGGGAUAAGCCUGGGAAACUGGGUCUAAUACCGGAUAUGACUGCGAAUCGCAUGGUUUGUGGUGGAAAGCUUUUGCGGUGUGGGAUGGGCCCGCGGCCUAUCAGCUUGUUGGUGGGGUGAUGGCCUACCAAGGCGACGACGGGUAGCCGGCCUGAGAGGGUGUCCGGCCACACUGGGACUGAGAUACGGCCCAGACCUCCCGUACGGGGAGGCA